Rattus norvegicus (Norway rat) is the source of this 918-nucleotide non-coding RNA. The record is from RefSeq and is a predicted model, not a curated record. NCBI's taxonomy places the organism in Eukaryota, Metazoa, Chordata, Mammalia, Rodentia, Muridae.
CUGAUAUACCAGCCCAAAGCUUCAGGAGAUAGUACCCACCUCCCCCACAUCAGCAGGAGAUGACUGCUCCAAUCAGCAAGUCACUUAUUUAGCUGUCAUUAAAAUAAGAAUUUCAAAGUCUGUGGUAGGUUACAGAAGGAGACCAGAAGAGGCAAAGAUUCGAUCUCAGCAUUAAAUUGUGAUGUCAAAGGAAGAUGUCUGAUACCCAGCCUUCUUAGCCCAUAGAUUCGUGCAGAUCACAGGAAAUCUGGCUUAAGUAUUUUUACAGCCAGUUAGGUAUAGUGGCCCACUCAGCAGGCUGAAGCUAGAAGGUUGUGACUUGAAACCAGCCAGAACCACACAGCUGUCUCUCAAAAAGAAAAGAGAAAAAUGUGCUGUCUGGUCCUGAUGGUGGAUGUGAUGUCUCGUGUCUAAAUCCCGGUGGUGGUUCUGAUGUCUCCUGUUUGCUCCUGAUGGUGGAGGUGAUGUGAUCAGCCGCUUCAAGUUCCUGCCUGCUUGAGUUCACCACUGCGAUGGACUGUGCCUUCACACUGCAUUUCCCAAAUUACCAGGAGAAAGUGAAGUAUGAUACAUCCGUGUGAGUAAACCACCAAUCACAUUUGACUCCAUGUGUUUACUGCAUUGAAUUGCUGUUUGGAAAUUCUUUGUGUUCUCUCACGCUCUCCUUCUUCGACAGACCUGUGAGUUGAGAAUAAAAUUUAAAACAAACAGUAUCAGCACCAUUUUUCCUUCUGCCUGUCAGUAUUUAAGAUUACUAAAUCUCCCUACUUGACAGAUGCCAACAUUAAUUUCCUCCCAUUGUUAUGAGUCUCCAGAAAUAAUGAUAUCCUUAUUACUUACAUUUCAGAGCCAAUGUCAAAGAGAGCUCCUUUGGAUACAACAUUGGGGCAAUUUGUCAGAAGGCACAGGGUCUUUAAA